AAAGUAAAUACAUAAAAUAAUAUGAAAACUUUUUAUUUUAGAAAUUGAAAUGCACUUUCUUGACCUUAACACAGAUUGUUUAGUGAGAGUUCUUCGAUAUUUAGAUCUUGACUCUCUAAUUAAUGUUUCACAAAUCAACGAAAAGUUGUUGUUUCUAGUAAGAAGUUGCUUCUCUAUAAAUAAUUUGCAACAAGCUAUUACAUUACAGACAAUGAAGACUAUCUCUCAAAACUUUAACCUUUGCAAUAUACCACAAAGUGAAAUGUUUAGGAAUGCAUUGUUUUUAUCUGUUACAAUGUUUCAUAAAGCAUUGUUAAAUAAAGAGUUGCUUCAAAAUUGGAUUAUUUAUGAUAGUUAUUUAUCAAGUGGUGUUAAAAAACUAUUUUUGCAAUCUUUAAACAAUUUUUUAAAUAUAUCAGAUUCUGUUUUAGUUUUACCUGCUAGAUAUUACACUGAGAUUCAAACCUUAUUUGUUUUUACUGAUGAUAAUAAAACAUGUAUUUUAACUAACUAUAAAAGUAAAACAUGUUCACAUUUAAGAUGUGUAAUUUACUUUAUGGAAGAAAACAAGCAAGAGAUUUAUCUACCUUGUAAAAUAUGUUCAAAUAGUUCCUUUAAACAGCUCAAAGUAAGUACCUGCUAGCUUAUCAUAUCCCUGAAGGGCAGGCAAUCAAUCAGCAUUUAUUUUGUCUGGCAGAAUGUCUGAUUGUUGUUUUUAAUAUUGCUUGAUUGAAGAGUUAUAUUUCAAUGGUGAAAUAGUCAAGCUUGUUGAUUUAUUCGAUUUAGUUAACAUUGUAGAAAAAAUCAAGUAUUUACAAUGCAAUCAAAUUUCAAUGAAAUGUGACAUUAAAAACUUAGCAAUAUUUUCAGAAGAUGCAAUCAUUUUGUCUUAUAAAAAUAUUGAAAAUAACUUUUAUAAAAGCUUGGGAACAUUUUCUAAGCAACCAGGAGUUCUAAAACUGUUCAACAUGUUAAAUCUGUACAGUGGCCUAGCAGAUUUCUGUGAGCAAAUUCAGUUUUACAACAAGAUUAAAUUGUUAAUACAUUUUUAUAGUCAAGCAAAUUUUAUAUUUCAUUAUGGAGAAGUUUUACCUUAUUUACCUAUAUUGGAAAAACUUUUUUUAAAAACUGAUUUUAUAAUUUCAAAUUGUAAAUUAAAAAAAGUUGUUAUUCAUUUUAAGAUAAAUGACACUCUUGAAGUAAUAAAGUUAAAAGAUAAACUUUUUGUGAAAUACCAAGAACUAAGUGGAACAUUUCCUGCUUUGAUUUGUUCUAAUGAUUCUGAAAGUUCAUAUUUUGAAGCUUACAUAAUUGAGCAGUUUGAGGAGUUUGUAACAAGAACAUUCACAGAUGAUGAGUUAAAAAAUCUUCCAAUUAUUUCUGUUGUGUUUAUAUCUAAAUUUUUAGAAUCUUUUUUUACAGAAGAAGGAAAAUAAGUUGUUUUUUUCUUAA
This is an RNA transcript of Hydra vulgaris (swiftwater hydra), 1452 nucleotides long. RefSeq lists it as uncharacterized. The record is from RefSeq and is a predicted model, not a curated record. Lineage: Eukaryota; Metazoa; Cnidaria; Hydrozoa; Anthoathecata; Hydridae.